RNAcentral lists this non-coding RNA (26 nucleotides) under Homo sapiens (human). Lineage: Eukaryota; Metazoa; Chordata; Mammalia; Primates; Hominidae. The record is from RNAcentral.
UGUUUGAAGAGUUGCAUGCUUGUCCC